RNAcentral lists this ribosomal RNA (523 nucleotides) under uncultured Chloroflexota bacterium. Its description in RNAcentral is "bacterial SSU rRNA". It matches the Rfam family "Bacterial small subunit ribosomal RNA", at positions 357 to 897 of the family's 1533-position model. The record is from RNAcentral. Lineage: Bacteria; Bacillati; Chloroflexota.
AGGAAUAUGAGCAAUGGGCGCAAGCCUGACUCAGCAACGCCGCGUGGAUGAUGACGGCCUUCGGGUUGUAAAAUCCUUUCUGGGGGAAGAUAAUGACGGUACCCCAGGAAUAAGUUCCGGCUAACUACGUGCCAGCAGCCGCGGUAAAACGUGGGGGACAAGCGUUAUCCGGAUUUACUGGGCGUAAAGCGCAUGUAGGUGGCUUGACAAGUUGGACGUGAAAGCUCCCGGCUUAACUGGGAGAGGUCGUUCAAAACUGGCAGGCUAGAGGUUGGAAGAGGAGAGCGGAAUUCCCGGUGUAGUGGUGGAAUGCGUAGAUAUCGGGAGGAACACCAGUGGCGAAAGCGGCUCUCUGGUUCAAUACUGACACUGAGAUGCGAAAGCGUGGGGAGCGAACGGGAUUAGAUACCCCGGUAGUCCACGCUGUAAACGAUGGAGACUAGGUGUAGGCGGUCAUUAACCCCGUCUGUGCCGAAGCCAACGCGUUAAGUCUCCCGCCUGGGGACUACGGCCGCAAGGUUAA